This 962-nucleotide long non-coding RNA is filed under the name Homo sapiens (human). RNAcentral describes it as "HSALNT0081687". Lineage: Eukaryota; Metazoa; Chordata; Mammalia; Primates; Hominidae. The record is from RNAcentral.
AGGACAGGCUCACCGUUGCCAUUAUAAUGCGACACAGACACACAGAAGAAAGGCCACAUGAAAAUAUAGGGAGAAGAUGGUCACCUACAAGCCAAGGAGAGAGGCCCUCAGAAGAAACUGACCCUGCUGACACCUUGAUCUUGGACUGUUAGCCUCCAGAGUUGUGAGAGGAUAGAUUUCUGUUCUGUAAGCCCCCCCGCCUGUGGUGCUAAUAUCUUGGUACUUUGCUUUGGCAGCCCUAGCAAAUGAAUAUGCUGUCCAGUCACAAGCUCUGUCCUUGCAACUGGCUCCAACCUGGGGUUCUCUGCCCUUGAACCUUUCUGAUUCCCCCAUCCCUCUAGAUGCCCCUCAUCUCCAUCUCACAGCUUCCUUCGCCACUUUCUGUCCCCAGAGUGUAAAAUUCCCCAGGCUCUUCCUCAACACUUUUUCUUUCUAUAUUUCCCCGUGAGGAUGAACUGAUGGCCCAUUUUCAUAGAUCCAACUGCCACCUUUAUGCCCAGGAGUCCCAAAUCUAUAGCUCUAGUUUUACUCCCCUGAAAUCCACACAGACUUUCCAAAUGCCUGCUAGACAUCAUGAGGAUAUCUUGCUAAUAUACCCCCCACCAAGCUCAUUGUCUUUUCAUCCAGAUUUUUCCUCCUGCUUCUCCUCCCUCCCUUAAUGCCUUUAUCAUUGCCUUAGUGACCCCUGCUAUGAAAUCAACCAUUGUUUCCUUCUCUUAUCACCCUCUUUCCCCUAAGCCCUAUAACUCACUUCCCGAAGUUUCCUUUACUUUUCACUCUUUCCCCAUUCCCCGCUACACAGACCCAGGAUUCAUCUCUUGCCUAAUAUUUUUCAAUUUCUUCCUAAUGAUUUUCCCUACCUUGGGUUUCAGAUCUCCAUUUUUCAGGGAUUUUUUCCCCUAAAUUACAAAUAAUAUUUUCCUCUUGAAAUAUCUUACUGAUAUUUUGUUGCCUAAUUUAAC